CGCUAGACACAGACGCUCUUGUGUGUAUUCCGGAAUUAGACUAAGAACGCCUGGCAGCAGAUCUCCUCCGAAAACCCAAGGAUGCUCAAUGACAUGCCAGUUUCACCGGUUUUCUUGUUCGUUUACAGCACUCUGAAUAAUUAUUUGUUAAUUCCAUUCUUUAUUUGUUUAUUCCCUCCUCAGCAGCCAGUAGGAGGCAAUCGUCAAUACCUCGAAAGCUUCAGAAUUCAAAAUACUGUCAUCAAGAAGUCUUAGCCAAGGAUAGAGAACGACGAUGUGAUGAGCCAGAAAAAUCUUACUGCAGUGACUCGCCAACCCUUGUUGACUUCCCAGCUAAACUUCAAAUCUGGAAACAUAGAACGCAGCAGAAUUCUUACAGAGAAUCACGAAAUUCCAAAUCGACAGAAAAAAAAAGCCGCCAAGGUGCAUCUCAACAAAAAGAC
RNAcentral lists this unclassified non-coding RNA (443 nucleotides) under Athalia rosae (coleseed sawfly). Its description in RNAcentral is "misc RNA ENSAEAG00005003806.1". The record is from RNAcentral. Lineage: Eukaryota; Metazoa; Arthropoda; Insecta; Hymenoptera; Athaliidae.